RNAcentral lists this transfer RNA (73 nucleotides) under Yersinia phage fHe-Yen9-04. RNAcentral's name for it is "tRNA-Met-CAT". It matches the Rfam family "tRNA". Rfam says of the family: Transfer RNA (tRNA) molecules are approximately 80 nucleotides in length. The record is from RNAcentral. Lineage: Duplodnaviria; Heunggongvirae; Uroviricota; Caudoviricetes.
GGUCAGUUAGUUCAGUUGGUAGAACACUGCACUCAUAAUGCAGAAUUCACUGGUUCAAGUCCAGUACUGCCCA